UACGUGGGGGGCUAGCGUUGUCCGGAAUCAUUGGGCGUAAAGAGCGUGUAGGCGGCCCGGUAAGUCCGCUGUGAAAGUCGGGGGCUCAACCCUCGAAUGCCGGUGGAUACUGUCGGGCUAGAGUGCGGAAGAGGCGAGUGGAAUUCCUGGUGUAGCGGUGAAAUGCGCAGAUAUCUGGAGGAACACCAGUGGCGAAGGCGGCAUCCUGGCCCUGUCCUGACGCUCAGGGGCGAAAGCGUGGGGAGCAAACCGG
This 253-nucleotide ribosomal RNA is filed under the name uncultured bacterium. RNAcentral's name for it is "partial 16S ribosomal RNA". It matches the Rfam family "Bacterial small subunit ribosomal RNA", at positions 524 to 776 of the family's 1533-position model. The record is from RNAcentral.